This 167-nucleotide unclassified non-coding RNA is filed under the name uncultured Leptodontidium. Its description in RNAcentral is "sequence contains ITS1". The record is from RNAcentral. Lineage: Eukaryota; Fungi; Ascomycota.
CAGAGUUCAUGCCCUUACGGGUAGAUCUCCCACCCUGUGUUAUUAUCACUUUGUUGCUUUGGCGGGCCGUCAGGCUCACGCCCGACCACCGGCCCCGGCUGGUGAGCGCCCGCCAGAGGACCCAAAACCCUGAUUAUUAGUGUCGUCUGAGUACUAUAUAAUAGUUA